GCUUCUCCAGGUCAGUUCAAAGCUUGCUGUGGACUAGCCAGACCACUUUCUUUCUGUGUCUUUCAGUGUUGCACAUCUCCAAAGAUGGAAGGAUUAGAAGCAGAGGGGGAAGAACUCCAGACUAUCUUUCCUAGCGAGUCUUUGGUGGCCUCUCCUUCCCAGAUGGACCCCAUCAAAGAUACAUUAAAGCUUGGGGCAAAGCCAAGUAUGAAGACUUUGAACAGAAGCAUACUGUCAACUUUUCUGAAUCCCAGGAACACAUUUAAGCCAUCCCCUUCAUUUCAUGCUUCUCGUCUUGAACUGAGGAAGUAAUAUACCAAGUUGCCUUUUGAACUGAAAGCAAUAAUGUGAUUUUCUAAAUAUGAAGACUUCUCCUGUAAAAAUGGGUGGAUGAGAACAAUUUGUUCCAAUAGUCAUGAAGGAGGCUGAAGCAGGUGCUAUGGAGAGCUUCGAGCGUGGUCAGACAUUAAAGAUACCAAGAUCAUCCACUGCAUCACCAGUCAUCUCCAGACCUCCUGACUUUUGUCUGGCCACUGGAUUUGUAUGACUCUGGAAGAGAAAGUGAGACUGACCACUUUGUUCAACAAUGACUUACUCAAAUCUGAUUCACACACAAGUCAAGACAUCACCCUGUGGUAUCACUGGUGCUCUUCAACAAUGAAGGAUCCUCGACAACAAAUGACAACAACCUCAUUAGAAUAGAAAGUUAGGUUUUGGCCACUGGUGAAUAAGAACCCCAUCCUUUUCUUUCUUUUUCUGUCUUUUCUGCUAUAAUGUUGGGGGUAUAACAUGAGCUCAAUGAAGUCUUAUAGAUUUAAUGAAUGAAUAUUCCUGAAACACAUUCUAUUUUCUAUUAAGCAUGAAUCCUAGAUAGAAAAAACGACAUGUUAUUUAGCUCAAUUCUCUCAUUUUACAGAUGAGGAUAUGGAAGCCCAGAGAAACUAAGUCAAUUGUUCUGUGCCACACAGAUAGUUAGUAGCAGAAUUCAAAUUUGAACCCAGAUUCUUUGACUCCUAAUCUAGUUCUUUUGAACUACACUACAGUGGUUUCUUCCAAUACCUUCUUGAUUUCUAAGCCAUUAAGGAAAUGUCUUUUUCUUCUCAGGGAUGAUUUCUGGUGAUGUUGGUUGGUUUAAAAGAAAAAUGAAAAUAGAGAUGCCAAAUCCUUAACUAUUUCAGUAAUGUAACAUCUGUCAGUGUUGGCUUUUAUGUCUCAGUUUGCCUGCUUUCUUGAGGUGAUGAACCUACUGGGCAAAAGCCAGCAUGUAUCUAUUUUUAUACUGUAUGGUAACUACUAAUCCAUAAUUAUCGUG
This 1312-nucleotide long non-coding RNA is filed under the name Monodelphis domestica (gray short-tailed opossum). RNAcentral's name for it is "lncRNA (ENSMODG00000032288.2)". The record is from RNAcentral. Lineage: Eukaryota; Metazoa; Chordata; Mammalia; Didelphimorphia; Didelphidae.